UGAUCAUGGCUCAGAUUGAACGCUGGGGAACGCUUUACACAUGCAAGUCGAACGGCAGCACGGAGAGCUUGCUCUCUGGUGGCGAGUGGCGAACGGGUGAGUAAUAUAUCGGAACGUGUCCAAUAAUGGGGGAUAACGAGUCGAAAGAUUCGCUAAUACCGCAUACGCCCUACGGGGGAAAGCAGGGGAUCGUAAGACCUUGCGUUAAUGGAGCGGCCGAUAUCUGAUUAGCUUGUUGGUGAGGUAAAGGCUCACCAAGGCGACGAUCAGUAGCUGGUUUGAGAGAACGACCAGCCACACUGGAACUGAGACACGGUCCAGACUCCUACGGGAGGCAGCAGUGGGGAAUUUUGGACAAUGGGGGCAACCCUGAUCCAGCCAUUCCGCGUGAGUGAAGAAGGCCUUCGGGUUGUAAAGCUCUUUUUUCAAGGGAAGAAAACUUAUGAUCGAAUAAAUCAUGAGGUUGACGGUACCUUGAUAAGAAGCACCGGCUAACUACGUGCCAGCAGCCGCGGUAAUACGUAGGGUGCGAGCGUUAAUCGGAAUUACUGGGCGUAAAGCGUGCGCAGGCGGUUUUGUAAGUCGGAUGUGAAAUCCCCGGGCUCAACCUGGGAACUGCGUUCGAAACUGCAAGGCUAGAGUGUGUCAGAGGGGGGUAGAAUUCCACGUGUAGCAGUGAAAUGCGUAGAGAUGUGGAGGAAUACCAAUGGCGAAGGCAGCCCCCUGGGAUAACACUGACGCUCAUGCACGAAAGCGUGGGGAGCAAACAGGAUUAGAUACCCUGGUAGUCCACGCCCUAAACGAUGUCAACUAGUUGUUGGUAGAGUAAAAUCUAUGAGUAACGUAGCUAACGCGUGAAGUUGACCGCCUGGGGAGUACGGUCGCAAGAUUAAAACUCAAAGGAAUUGACGGGGGCCCGCACAAGCGGUGGAUUAUGUGGAUUAAUUCAAUGCAACGCGAAAAACCUUACCUGGCCUUGACAUGUACCGAAUUGAGCAGAGAUGUUCAAGUGCUCGAAAGAGAACGGUAACACAGGUGCUGCAUGGCUGUCGUCAGCUCGUGUCGUGAGAUGUUGGGUUAAGUCCCGCAACGAGCGCAACCCUUGCCAUUAAUUGCCAUCAUUUAGUUGGGCACUUUAAUGGGACUGCCGGUGACAAACCGGAGGAAGGUGGGGAUGACGUCAAGUCCUCAUGGCCCUUAUGGCCAGGGCUUCACACGUAAUACAAUGGUCGGUACAGAGGGUUGCCAACCCGCGAGGGGGAGCCAAUCCCAGAAAGCCGAUCGUAGUCCGGAUUGUAGUCUGCAACUCGACUGCAUGAAGUCGGAAUCGCUAGUAAUCGCGGAUCAGCAUGUCGCGGUGAAUACGUUCCCGGGCCUUGUACACACCGCCCGUCACACCAUGGGAGUGGGUUUUACCAGAAGUAGUUAGUCUAACCGCAAGGGAGACGAUUACCACGGUAGGAUUCAUGACUGGGGUGAAGUCGUAACAAGGUA
Molecule: ribosomal RNA, 1494 nt
Filed under: uncultured beta proteobacterium
Lineage: Bacteria; Pseudomonadati; Pseudomonadota; Betaproteobacteria
Description: 16S ribosomal RNA
Rfam family: Bacterial small subunit ribosomal RNA
Source: RNAcentral